AAGUAAAUUUAUAAUAAAUUUCUAAUUUAUUCAAAAAUGAUUAAAUUCAUUUUUUACUUU
Molecule: transfer RNA, 60 nt
Filed under: Prosevania sp. ZJUH_2016031
Lineage: Eukaryota; Metazoa; Arthropoda; Insecta; Hymenoptera; Evaniidae
Description: tRNA-Ser
Source: RNAcentral